RNAcentral lists this ribosomal RNA (771 nucleotides) under uncultured bacterium. RNAcentral describes it as "bacterial SSU rRNA". It matches the Rfam family "Bacterial small subunit ribosomal RNA", at positions 8 to 796 of the family's 1533-position model. The record is from RNAcentral.
AGAGUUUGAUCCUGGCUCAGAAUGAACGCUGGCGGCAUGCCUAAGACAUGCAAGUCGCACGUGAAAGUAGCAAUAUGAGUAAAGUGGCGCACGGGUGAGUAAUAUUUAAGUAAUGUGCCCUUCCGCGGGGGAUAACCAGACGAAAGUUUGGCUAAUACCGCAUACAUCGGUGAAAACUGUGGUUUUUACCGGGAAAGCCGUAAGGCGCGGAUGGAGCAGCUUGAAUCCCAUUAGCUAGUUGGUAAGGUAAUGGCUUACCAAGGCAUUGAUGGGUAGCUGGUCUGAGAGGACGACCAGCCACACUGGAACUGAGACACGGUCCAGACUCCUACGGGAGGCAGCAGUCAGGAAUCUUGCGCAAUGGGAGAAAUCCUGACGCAGCGAUGCCGCGUGAGGGAUGAAGGCCUUCGGGUUGUAAACCUCUUUUAGUUGGAACGAAAAAAAUGACGGUACCAGCAGAAAAAGCACCGGCUAACUCUGUGCCAGCAGCCGCGGUGAUACAGAGGGUGCAAGCGUUAUUCGGAGUUACUGGGCGUAAAGCGCGCGCGGGCUGUUCAGCAAGUCUGAUGCGAAAGCCUCCGUUUAAAGCGGAGAAGUGCAUUAGAUACUACUGGACUAGAGUAGAGGAGGGGAGAGUGGAAUUCCUGGUGUAGAGGUGAAAUUCGCAGAUAUCAGGAGGAACAACGGUGGCGAAGGCGACUCUCUGGACUCUUACUGACGCUGAUGCACGAAAGUGUGGGGAUCAAACAGGAUUAGAUACCCUGGUAGUCC